GCACAAAAUGGCUACAAAAAUGUAUGGAAAUUUUAUAACAGUGUCGCUGAGCUUUAUAUGCUGUCUGCUGCUUUUGUGCUGCAAUGUUCAGGCACAUCUGAACGUGUAUCUCAGUCCACAGGAGGUCAUGCGGUUAUUAGGUGAGUACGACUGUGCUUAAAACCCACAAGUGUAUAGUCACUUUGCCGAAGGACUCGCAAGACUUUCGGAAGUAUUGAAAACGCUUGAGUGCAAAGAGGCGGAAGGCGGUUAAACUGUUGCUGCCAAAGUGUCACAGACAUUGCAAAGUUCUUACCUCAUUUCCCUUCGCUGAUGCUGCUGCUGCUGCAGCGUUGUGGCCGCAUAAUUUGCUCGUCUUGUCUGCGUGGACCGCCUGCUUCCUGCCUGUCGACUUGACUCGCAACAUUUUGUGUGGCGCAUAAUCAGCUACUGGAUUAUGAACAGCGAAAAGUUUACUUUCACAUUUCUUUUUAUUUAUUUAUUUAUUAUUAUGCUUUUUGCACAAGACUUGCUGGUUUGCGAGUAUAACUGUUGCUUUUUGUAGUGCCUUUUAUUGCGCGUAUUUAUAUUUUUACAUUUUUCACUUGCCUCGGCGCGUAUGCGGCAGUGCAGUGGAAUUCGGCAUUAAGAAUGAUUUGUUCUUAUUGUUUCGUCCAUUCGCUGUGGAAAAUAAUGCAAUUGCCUUUAGGGAAAGCGAUAAAAAGCGAAGGCCAAGCAAAUCUGUGGGGAGCCAAACGUCGAAAGGUGUAAACGCCGUUUGCGUUGGCUGACGGUUUAAAAGGCGGCAAAAGUUUGUAAUCUAAUGGCGGUUGACUAACAAAACAAACGUCGGAAAAAGAACUGAGUUGAAGAAAGCACAACAAAAUCGAAAAAAAAAAUCGCUGUGCAAAAAUGCGUAAAAUAAAACAGCCGCCAGUUGACAACAUUUUUUUUUAUAUUUUUUCGCUGCAGCUAUUUCAAUAUUGUAGUCGUGGUUGUUGGCGCCAACUAUGCAACAGCCGGCAAACUGGCGGAAGGAAACGUCACUAGACAACGCGCGGCAACAAUGCAGCUACGGUUGCACUGUGCACACAUAAUUACGAAUUAUUGUUAUUAUUAUUGUUUUAGCAUUUGCAUUUUUACAGCACAUUUUCUUUAAAGUACUGAAGUAAUAAUGAUAAAGUUUGUUUUCAUAUUAGAAGCUAAGUUCUUCAUUUUAUAAGUUUACCUAACACUUAUUAGACUGCAUAAUGUUUGGUAUAAAAAAUUAAUUUAAUGUAAGGCUUAGAAGAUUUCAUUUGUGAAGCAUGGAUAGACCAGGUUUGGGCAAGAUCAAGUUGAGAAAUGCGUUAAUAGAUUACUUUCGGGAACUUGUUAAAGGGUUGUUACGAAUACAUUUUUGAAAUCCUGCGAGUUGUUGAAGGCCACUUAGAUAGGAUUCGCUUAGGUCUAAUGAAUGAGAAUUUUGUGCAGUCAGGCAUUGUUUCGAGCUUCUCUUUCAGUGAAUUAGUCAUUUUUUUUAAAUACAAUGAAGACGUCUCUUGUUAUACCAACACCUCCAGCAUUUGGGGGCCUCAUGAUAUGAGAAUCUGGAAGAGGUUUCGAUAAUGGAGCCACAUAACCUUUUAAAAUUCGCAUAGACAUCGUAAGGAUGACUUCUCCUCGUGCAUUACAUGACGGCGCUCCAACUGGUCUCGCAAAGGACCAAAACUGGUUUAUGUGUGGCUUAUUGCCCUACCAGACUAACGUAACCUAACCUAAAGAUCUGAAAAAUCUUCCAUGCGUCUUCGCUAUAUAAAUGAAAAGAUUGGGGAAACGCAGUCUCCGUUCCGUAUUACACGUAAUUUUUUUAUAAAACGCAUAAUGCAUAAGUCUAUUAUUCCAUGUGAGUUUUCUAAGUGUAGCCUUUGCUAAUUACGUACUUUAGAUAUAUACUUUUAGAUUCGUUUGAAUUUGGUUUCCUUCGGUAUAGAAGAAGAAUAAUAAUUUAAAGAAAAAUAAUAUAAUAAAUAAUUAUUAUUUUUCUAUCCAGUAAUUUGUCCGUGCAGAAGUCAGGAGUCGCCGUCGUCACCGCCAAAAACCAUUAGAUUGGCGACCGAGUCUCACGGUUUAUUUAAAAAUUAUUUAAAUUCUCUAAUAAAUUUUCCUGAUGGCACCUGACUAAUGAUUUUUACGUUGAUUUAUUGAUUAUUCAUACAAAAAUACCUCAAUUACAUUUCUCUAGCAGGUAAAUAAUAAUAUUGUAAAUAAGGGUUAAUGCAUAUGACUUGACGCCCUCUUCAAAUGACAGCUGCACACGUACAUGAAUGUGUAUAUGCAGCGACUUGGCUGCAGCAACAUGUUGCAAGCAAAACACGUUGUCUAGUGUACUGUGGCGACAGCGCAUAUAUAUGUACUUAUACAUAUAUGUAUGACCGUCAUGUGCAAAUGGAAAUGCAUGCAAUUCGUAAGUGAAUGCCGAGUUAGAGUGUAAACGCUCGAUUGGUAAGUGACCAUUCAGCCGGAACCCAGUCGUCGGUUCGAAAAACGGUUGUAUUGGACAUAUUGGUCUUAUGAUUAAUGGCACGCAGAAAGCUUUCAAAGCAACCUGACAGUCGUCGUUGCGAGCCUCAAUACGUUAAGAUACGGGCAUACGGCAGUGUGUGUGUGUCUUUUCCAGCAUGUUACCUGACGCUUCAACUGGUAGCCAGAGUGUUAACUGUGUGUGCGCGUUUGUGCUAUGCCUAGGCCCCUCAAGUAUGUUUUUGCUUGAGUGGCUUGAGUGGCGACUUCAGGAGCGGCAGCUUCAAAAUGAGCCAAAUUAAUUAUGUUGAACUUUUUAAACCCAACGCAAACACGGCCACCACGUUUUGUUGCAAAUGAAAAGCAGAAAACCAAAAACAAAAAAAAAACACGAACUUGUAUUCAACACACGCUUCUGGCAUGUAGCACACACGUUGCAUACACACAAGCGCAACGGUGCACAUUUGUGUACCGAUAAACAAACCAGUUAAAAUGAAAAAGAAGUAGUUAAUUUAUUUUACCAGUUGGUGGUAAAUUUAACACGCUAUAAAUUUCAAAAAACCAACAAGCUAAACAAGACACGACGAAUGCGAAUGCGAACCUUCAAACACACACGUACCAAUAUGCAUACGCACAUAUGGUGUAGAAGUAGGCUGCGCGAGUCGGCGGGGCGCAGGCGCAGUUGUUGAAGAAUGCAAUCGAUCACUUUGCCAUCGCUUCCGCAGACUUGUGCGCUUCUUGAGCGAAAUGGAAGAAGGUGCAGCACGGCGAUGUGACAGGCCUACACCGACGUUGUGCACCGCAUGAUCUUCAUGCAUAUAUGCACAGUUGCUAUGUACUCGUAUGUACGUACGUUAAUUAUGUAAGCGUCAUGCUGUUGCUGCCACAAUCACAUUGCCACAAGAAGAAAACGCAAGCCAACUAUGAGUGGAACGAAGCAAUCGGAUUUGCUUAGUUUAGGGAAAACAUUUUCAAUUUGCCUUUAGAGCUUUUAAUUGCAAGCGAUUGCUUUGUGCUAAGCAGCUCUUAAAAUGUAAAUCUAUCUUAUUUUUAUUUUCAAGAUUAGACUUGUAUGAAAUUUAAAUGACACACUAGCGGGGCAGAUAAGUCUGUUUCAUCGUUUUAAACAUUGUAGCAACAGCUGUUUUCACUUUUGUAAACUUAAAAAGUUUUGAGGAGUAAUGCUUACUUCAUAAAAGCGAAUUAUCAAUCAUUGUUAAGAUCAAUAAUGAUAAAAAAUGAAAAAUUAUAAAAAUUAAAUAUUUAGUUCAAACUUUUUAUUGUCUCGAAGAAACAUAUUUAAUUAGGGACUAUAGAAAUUUGACUGGAAAAUAUUUUAAACGCUGCCAUUGUGACGUAAUUUCUGGCGAACCCUCUGGAAGAUAUUGUAUCCGCGUUGUCUGCAAAAAUCCUAGCAGGAUCAUCAGAAAACACAUUAAACUAGAGGUCGGAAAUUAAACUUUCAAAAUCUGUAUUACACCAUCGUUGUACUUUUCCUAAGGGCUCUAUGUAAUCAAAAUUUGUUCCCAUUGUGACCAUAUUAUUGUUCUUCCGUCGUACUAUUGCAAUCUCAUUAUUGUCAAAACGAUAAUCAUAUUUUAAGAGUUUAACUACUCGUUCACCAAGCGGAUCUUUAGUCACCUCUCCGAAUGAGAUAACAUAGAGGUCUCCCCUCUUUUGUCAGUUGAACUAGUGGAUAAACCGUUAUCAACAAAAUUCAGGUUUAUUUUGAUUUCUAAGAACCUUUUUUGACUUAUUGCAUUUACAACCACUAGAGCACGAAUAUGGUAAUCUACACUACAACAAGCACGCUCUGUCGGAAGUUGGUGAUAACCACUCAAAAGCAAAACUCCAAGAAAUCAUUUCACUUAUUCUAUGCUUAGGUCAAAUUUAUGUCUGUUAUUUUGAUUGGUGUACAUAGCGCUAUUUUCAGCAGUCAUUGUAAGAACAUAAAUGUCAAUAAUUUUCCCAAACAAGUUGUUUUUGAACCUAAUUAGUGGAGUGAUAUUUCAUGUUAUAAUUAGGUGAAACCCAUCUCCGAACUGGUUCACAAAAAUUACCCUGAUCGACUCUUUUGCGCUUAGUAAAGCAUGUACAUAUACAUAUGUCUCUUCAUCACUUUCAUUUUAAUCGGAAUCGUCUAGUCGACGUGAGGAACUACAUCCAUUAUUCCAGUUACAUAAUUUGGCAAGCCAGAGCAUACCAAAUCGUCUUCACGAAUGACUAUUAUGUCUUAUUUCUCCAUUAUCCAAUCAAUGACCUUCUGUAGUCUUAAGAAAUCAUUCUGACUCUUAAAUACCUAACGAUAUGCCGUAAUUAUGCUUAUGGAAACCACAUAUAAAAUGUUGAUAGUUACACUAUUUGUGCCAAUUAACAAUAUUUAUUAAUAAUAUUAGUUUCCUAGUUUUUAUGAGAACACUGAAGUCUAGUUCAGGAAACUUAGCAUUAACUCUCGUUGAAGGGCAAAGAUACUCGCUAGCAGCAUUCAUAUACUUUAGGUAUAACUAUAUAUUUGUAUUUUGGAAGUAAGUUAACUUUUCCAUAAAGAAUUUAAUUAGAUUUUUUAAGAAGGACAUCGUCAUCACUAAUAAAAACAAAUUUCUCGACAUCGACUAACUUUAAGGUUUUAUUAAAUCAUGUAAAUUGCCUUGUAUUGCAGCAGCCUAAAAUUAAAACUAUUGACUGUGAGUUUUUCAAUUUCCACCUUUACUUAUAUUUCGCUUUUGUGCUUUUCCAAAGUUAUUCAACAAAAAUCCAUUUGAAAUUAAUGCCAAAGUCUAAUGAUAUUUUCUACGUACUAAAGAGAAUUCAGUGGAAGUUUUCUUAUGACAAAGCGCUGCAGCCGCCUUUUAGGUUCAAGUUCAAUCAAAUUUUGCCUGGCUACUUGCGUUGCCACGUUUUAUUUAUUUAGUUUUUUUUUUGGCAAAGUUUUUCUAUGCUUCUUAUGUGCUGCUCUGGCAAUUCAUGCAUUGAAUGCAAAUAUUGUUGCUUGUUGUUGUUGGUGAUACCUUGAAGCUGUUCCUAAGCAUAUGCAUAAUUCAAAUGAGCUGCCUUUUUUAUUUGUUAUUUUUUCGCUCGCAGGCUUUGACUUUCCAUUGGAUGCUGCACGUUCCAUGUGAGUUGACAAAAAGCCUUUGGAAUACUCGUAUGGGUCGUCUUUUAGCCUGCCAGUGCUCGCUUUCAGCUGCACUGCUGGACUUUUCCGUAGCCAGUUCGUGUGGGAUUUUCUUGCAUUUGCCUAGACGUCGCCUCCUACGGCCAUACACAUUUGAUUUGCAUACAAAUACGUGGUGUUGCAAGACGUGUUGAACGUGCAACAUGCAGUCUGCCGCACUCAAGUGCACCUCAUCGCGCUGAACGACGUACUCUAGAGAAUCUUUGCUGUUUGCCAGUUGCACUGCAUUCACAGAGAUUGCCUGCGGUGGCUCUAUGCCGGCCACCCAUCCGUCACUACGAGUACAGCUCAGCUAUUUCUGAUGUACGUUGCAGCAGUUGCAAUUGUCGAUUGCGUUGCUCGUAUUGUUGUUGUUUGAAUUUUUAUUUAUUUAUUUAUGUGCUUUUGAAAUUUGCAAUUUCGGCUGUUGAGUGCACUUUUAAUCUAUUCAAGCAGGCGAAGGAGCGGCAUGCCAACCGGGCGAGUGGUCUUUUGGUCUUUUGUGUGUUGCACUCUCAUUGCUUAGGCAGCCAAUUUUUCUAUGAAACGAUUUUGGCUACUACAUGCAACUGCCGUGUGGUUCGCCUGUGGCCAAAUAAUCCUGUCUGCUGCAUAUGUAAUGCGCAUUUGUCGCCCUGUCAUCGUGCGCUCAUAUCCAUAGAUGCGUGUGUGUAUUUAUGCAAAUUUUUCGUUUAUUUUUAAGGUGCAGAAAGCCUCGAUUCUGCUGCUGCUGCGUAUGCAUAUGCGAACGCCUUUGCAGCAGUGACAUGACUGUUUAGGGCAUGACAAUGCCAACAGCUUGCAUCAUUGCGCUAGCUUCUUGCCACAAACUGCUAGCAUUGCAUCUAAAGAUGUGCUGCUGUGCUGUGUUGGCAGUUCAUUCGUCCAUUAUGAGUGCAAUCAAUCUCGAUGGCCACGCUAGAUAUGUGGGCAAGCUUGAAGAAAUGCGUCACAGUAACAAUAACAACAAGAUGUACAGCGAAAGCCAACAUUAACGAGCACUUUAUAAGUACAUACAUACAACCUGCAACUCAGCAAGUGAGUUGGUACUUAUCUCCAUGACUGCAUAUUUUGAUUAUGCCACACCAGCAUUUCUUGCUUGUUGAUAGUUUAAGUUGCAGGUUUUAAAGACGAUUGCUUAAGCAGUUGCCGUUUUAGCCAAUAACGUUUCACCGCAUUCUGACUUCCACUACAUAAACUCACUAACAGCAACAGCUUAAAUUUUGCCUGCACGCUGCAAGCGUUCGUUUCACUUCCUUUUCAAACCCAGCAAUACUCGGCUGCCGCUUUUGUUGUACUAACUCUUCGCUCAAACUUCAAAUUACAAAAGCGCACAUCAACUACGCAAAUCACAUCCAAUCAUUGGAAGCCCUUCGCCGACUUCAGUCCGCCACAACGUUGUGUUGCAACCCGCAUCUGCAGCCGUUGGCCAAUGGUCUUGCUUCUGCGCCCUCGCCACGCUCGAGUACGCUUGUCGAGGUUAGCUGCUGCAAUUGAUUCUUUGGCUUUCAGUUAUCGCUGCUGGCUAGCCUCGCAUUUGUUGGCCAUGAUUAAGCAAUUUGAUGUGUACAUCUUGAUAACAGUGUGUUUACAUAGAAGUACGCUUAAAUCCGCAUAGCAUUUCCUUAUUCCACGCCAAUGUUGCUGUGCAUCCGCUUGGCUUAUGUUUGCCUGGAACAUUUCCUGGUGAAUGCUGCUGGCUCUUUCAAUUUGCGUUGCCGGCAGAUGAGCUCGACAAGAUUUCAACUUUUCCUGGCACCCAGAAAGGUCACGUUGUGUACGUUUACUAGCCCUAACAUAUGUACAGAAAUACAUAUAUGUAGUUGUCUAUAAGUCUGUAUUUAAAUUUAGAGGGUAAAAAUCAAAUUCAAUCCUUUGAGUUGUGAGCGGUUGCUACCAUUUCUUAUCAUCCCUUUCACAUACAUAUAAGUUUAGUUCGCAAUUCAAAGUUUUCUCCCACUACCAGCAAUUUACAUGCAUAUUACACAAGUACGUUUACAUAUAUAUAUUUAUAUGUGUACUUGCGGAAGUUCAGUGUGGACAAUGUAUCAUCGAUUGCUGGCGGGCAGCUCCCUAUUGCGACCAUGAAUAAGAUUUCCUAACUAUUUCCGCUUUAAAUAGAAUUAUUUACUUUUUUAGUUCGUACAAGUACAUUCUAAAAGUUUUCGAAAACUUACAACUAUACAGACAUAGUUAUGGUACAUGCAUGUGUCUUUCAUUUAAAGUUAGUCUUCUAAUUUUUUAAAAAAAUAUUAAAUAAAAUGGCAUUACUUUUAAUUUAGGUUAGGUUAGAUAUCUGGAUCUCACUUGGACAGUUUUGAGCGCUGACUAGAGCAUACUGUCAUUGAUUUCAAUGCUAAUAAAGCCGCUCUACUGUCGGAGUGAGUGCAUACCUGUCUAAAGAAGGCAGCAGUACCUUAAUGACAGCUAUCUCUGCCUGAAAGACGCUGCAUUUGUCUGGCAGCCGAAAACUGGAGAAUUGCUUAGCUGGUGUGACCUUGUCGAGCGCCAUCCACCAGAUGACAACUCCAUAAAACAAUAUUGGUUUAACUAUGGUUUCAUAGAGCCAAAAACCACCGUUGGUGAGAGUCCCGUUGGUGAGACUCCCUUUUUCCAAUAGCUCUUCUACAGCAGUAAAGGGCUAUCGAAGCUUUUCUCACUUUCUCUUCAAUGUUUGGCUUCCACGAGAUUUUCUUGUCCAGGAUAAGCCCCAGGUACAUCACCUUGUCUCCCAAUGAGGGGGGAGUGGCAUAUCAAAUUUUGUACCUCCUUCAAAUUAAUACCAGUUCACUGUCACUGGGAUUAAUGGCUAAGCCACUUCAGCGCUCAUCUCACAUAUGGUCUUUAGGAAUUUUUCUUUUACCAUAAGAGCUACAUGAUCCGCAUAUGCUAUCACAUGGCAGCCUCGAUCUUCGAGGUUCCUCAGUAGUUUGUUCACCACCAAGAUCCAGAGCUAUGGAGAGAGAAUCCCGACUUGAGAGGUGCCCCUAUUUAACUUUCGACGUGCAUAUGCACUACACCAUUUCGCGGCCACAGUUCUAUCGCAUAGGAGACUAUAGCUGAUAUACUUAAAGUUCGUUUCUACCCAAAUAUAUCGAGCACGCCAAUGACCACUUCCGUUCUUACAUUAAUAAAGGCUUCCUCGAUAUCCAACAUACAUACAUAAGCCAAUCGCGUAUUCCUCAUUAUAUCCUUAAAGGUACUCCUCCUAAAACUGGGUUUGGCAUGCAUUUAUGAACUAUAAUAGAGGAGGAUGGAGUCAUAUGUAGAAGUUCACGUAAGUGAGGAAAGUUUCUGACUGCCAUUCACUUGGGAGUGGCCAGGAACGAUUCUUUUACAUGUGGCUCAAGCAGCUCACAACUUCCGGUCUUAGACCAAGUAUCCUCUGGGUAGCCAACAGACAUCCGUCUGGAAGCGAGCUAAAGUGAGAAGGCGAAUCCCGCUUAUGCGGUUGUGCGUAGGGCUUGGGUCCCACCACAUAAAAACGAAUAACCAGUGAAUAAGAAGCACAGGCCUCGGAUGAGAAACCCCCCUUUUGAUGACGACCACGGCAAACGUAUAAAGGACUAUGAUUUAAGGGCAUGCACCUGGAAUGUCCGGACCCUUAAUUGGGAAGGUGCCUCUGCCCAGCUGGUUGAUGUCCUCGUAAGAGUAAAGGCUGACAUCACCGCAAUCCAAGAAAUGCGAUGGACGGGACAAGGACGGAAGAAGGUGGGUCCUUGUGACAUCUACUACAGCGGCCAUAUAAAGGAGCGCAAAUUCGGUGUGGGAUUCGUGGUGGGAGAGAGACUCCGUCGUCGAGUCCUGGCAUUCACUCCGGUGGAUGAACGUCUAGCCACAAUCCGCAUCAAAGCGAGGUUCUUCAACAUAUCGCUGAUUUGCGCCCACGCCCCGACGGAAGAGAAGGACGAUGUGACCAAAGAUACCUUCUAUGAGCGCCUAGAACGUACCUAUGAGCGCUGCCCCCGCCACGAUGUCAAAAUCGUGCUUGGCGAUUUCAACGCUAGGGUGGGUAAAGAAGGUGUCUUUGGCACAACAGUCGGAAAAUUCAGCCUCCAUGACGAAACAUCACCAAACGGUCUGAGGCUGAUCGACUUCGCCGGGGCCCGAAAUAUGGUCAUCUGUAGCACUAGAUUCCAGCAUAAGAAAAUCCAUCAAGCUACUUGGCUGUCCCCGGAUCGAAUCACUCGCAACCAGAUCGAUCAUGUUGUGAUAGAUGGACGACAUGUCUCCAGUGUUUUUGAUGUGCGUACGCUUCGUGGUCCCAACAUCGACUCGGACCACUAUCUUGUAGCAGCUAAGAUACGCACCCGCCUCUGUGUAGAAAAGCGCACACGUCAACAAACACAAGGAAGGUUCGACAUCGAGAAGCUGCAAUCACAACCGACAGCCGAACGAUUUUCUACUCGACUUGCACUCCUGCUCUCUGAGAGCACUCAUCAGCAUCUCGGUAUAAGGGAGCUGUGGAACGGCAUAUCAAACUCCUUACGUACAGCUGCAACCGAAACCAUUGGCUUUCGGAAAAGCCAAAAAAACAGCUGGUAUGAUGAGGAUUGUCGUCUCGCAGUGGAGAGAAAACAGACUGCCUACCUCGCAAUGUUGCGAUCGACCGCAACACGAGCGGGAUGGGAAAGAUACCGAGAGCUGAAGAGGGAAGCGAGACGCAUUUGCAGAAAAAGAAAGAAAGAGGCAGAAAUGCGUGAGUAUGAAGAGCUUGACAAGCUGGCCGACAGGGGUAAUGCUCGAAAAUUUUACGAAAAGAUCCGGCGACUAAGUGAAGGUUUCAAGACCGGAGCACACUCCUGUAGGACCCCCAGCGGUGAUCUAGUGGUUGAUGACCAGAGUAUACUGUGUUUGUGGAGGGAACACUUCUCCAGCCUGCUGAAUGGCAGUGAAAGUACAACACCAGGAGAUGGCGAACCCGAUUCCCCAAUCGACGACGAUGGAACAGAUGUUCCAUUGCCCGACCGUGAAGAAAUUAGAAUAGCAAUUACCCGCUUGAAGAACAACAAGGCGGCGGGGGCCGAUGGAUUGCCGGCCGAGCUAUUCAAAUACGGCGGCGAAGAGCUGAUAAGGUGCAUGCAUCAGCUUCUUUGCGAAAUAUGGUCGGAAGAAAGCAUGCCCGACGAUUGGAAUCUUAGUGUACUCUGCCCAAUCCACAAAAAGGGAGACCCCACAAUCUGCGCCAACUAUCGUGGGAUAAGCCUCCUUAACAUCGCUUAUAAGGUUCUAUCGAGCGUACUGUGUGAAAGACUAAAGCCCACCGUCAACAAACUGAUUGGACCUUAUCAGUGUGGCUUUAGACCUGGAAAAUCAACAACUGACCAGAUAUUCACCAUGCGCCAAAUCUUGGAGAAGACCCGUGAAAAAAGGAUCGACACACACCAUCUAUUUGUCGACUUUAAAGCUGCUUUCGACAGCACGAAAAGGAGCUGCCUUUAUGCCGCGAUGUCUGAAUUUGGUAUCCCCGCAAAACUAAUACGGCUGUGUAAGUUGACGUUGAGCAACACCAAAAGCUCCGUCAGGAUCGGGAAGGACCUCUCCGAGCCGUUCGAUACCAAACGAGGUUUCAGACAAGGUGACUCGCUAUCGUGCGACUUCUUUAACUUGAUGCUGGAGAAAAUUAUAAGAGCUGCAGAGCUAAAUAGAGAAGGUACAAUCUUCUACAAGAGUGUACAGCUCCUGGCGUACGCCGAUGAUAUUGAUAUCAUCGGAAACAACACCCGCGCCGUUAGUUCUGCUUUUUCCCGCCUGGAUAAGGAAGCGAAGCGAAUGGGUCUGGUGGUGAACGAGGACAAGACGAAAUAUCUCCUGUCAUCAAACAAACAGUCAGCGCAUUCGCGUCUUGGCUCCCACGUCACUGUUGACAGUCAUAACUUUGAAGUUGUAGAUAAUUUCGUAUACCUAGGAACCAAUAUUAACACCGAUAAUAAUGUCAGCCUUGAAAUCCAACGCAGAAUCACUCUUGCCAACAGGUGCUACUAUGGACUGAGUAGGCAAUUGAAAAGUAAAGUCCUCUCUCGACGAACAAAAACUAAACUCUACAAGUCCCUCAUCAUUCCCGUCCUACUUUAUGGUGCAGAAGCGUGGACGGUGUCAACAUCCGAUGAGACGGCACUAGGAGUUUUCGAGAGAAAGGUUUUGCGGAAGAUUUACGGUCCCUUAAACAUUGGCAACGGCGAAUACCGCAGAAGAUGGAAUGAUGAGCUGUAUGUGUUGUUCGACGACAUAGACAUAGUCCAGCGAAUAAAAAGACAGCGGCUACGCUGGCUGGGUCAUGUUGUUCGAAUGGAUGAAAGUGCCCCAGCUCUGAAAGUUUUCGAUGCAGUACCCGCUGGUGGAAGCCGAGGAAGAGGGAGACCUCCACUCCGGUGGAAAGACCAGGUGGAGAAGGACCUGUCUUCACUUGGUAUUACCAAUUGGCGCCAAACCGCCAAAAGGAGAGAUGCGUGGCGCACUGUUGUGGACUCGGCUAUAACCGCGUAAGCGGUUUCUACGCCAGUUAAGAAGAAAGAAGAAGAAGAAUAGAGGAUUGACAAGUUUUACGCAGAAGAAGCAACAUAAAAUAUUUACAUACGUAUAUAUGUAUGUACAUAUACAAGAAUGAAUAGUAUACUGCAAAUAAGUUGAAAUAAUUGGCUAAUUCCUGUAUAUUAACCAACUUUAUUCCUUAACAUACAGUAAGCUGUAAUGUUCCAUUAAAGCCGAUGACAUAUCCAACCCCAAGAAAUACUCCAACGCCUUCGUAUGUGAAAUUAAUAUACUGUAAUCAAUUCUUUUUCGCCUACCUUUUUGGCUUGCCAAUUUAAUCAAAUAAUGUUUACGCAAUAUUACUUCCGAUCUUAAUUAUCUUCCAUCCAUAUAAAUCAUUACCGACCAAAUAAGAAAUGGCUACAAACACUUAAAGAAAGCAAUAGCAAAAGAAUCUCAUAAUGGCAGCUCAUCAGUGCAGCAUAUUAAGUGAAAAACUAUUUUUUUUUUGUUGCUUUAUUCGCAUGUUUUUGUUUUGGUCUGUUAUGCCCGGCAGAGAUUGAGCUCGUUCUGAGAAUGAGAUGAAGUAAACAGUGAAGACUAUUUAUAUUACACAUGCACAUACAAGCAUAUGUGCUUAAGUCACUUAAUCCCGAAAUCUUAGUUGACUGGAGCAACGGAGAUGGAUGGUAUUUAUUUCAAAAGUGCAUGUAGGGAAUGGUGACCAAUUUUUGUUGAUAAAAGCGGUAUUCCUCUUGUGACUUGAUGCGAAUAUGAACAAAAAUUAUCAUUCAAAGUAAAUUAAAAUAAAUUCAGUAUGUAUUUGGUGUAUAAUUUCUAUCAAAAUAUAAGUGAGCUCAUGUUUUCUGGAAGAACGGAUAUCCCUAUGCAACGGGACCAAUUAACUAUUCAUUAUAUAGUACCAAGUAGUCGUUUAAAUUAUCUACUCGAGGUGUUUACUUGUGUUUCUUCCUCAUUUUGCCGUUGAGUUCAGCCGAAGAAUGUGUCCCCAAGGAAUUGGUUUGGAUACCUACCGGAAUACCGUUCUUAUUAUAUAUUUAGGAAUACUAUAAAUAUCUUAAUUGAUAACAUUGACGUAUUGUAAAAAUCUGCCUUAUUGGACCGACCCGGAAAACUCCCGUGUAACGAGUUUCAAGCGGAUCCGAUUUAUAAAAUCUGUCCUACAUAUUGGUUUUAUGUCAAAACCCUGAUCUGAUGGAGUUAAAUGUACCUCGGAUUCAGAUUCAGCGACCCCAGAAACAUAAGGUACACAUUGAAGGCCCCCAAGUCAGAACCAAUUUUUUUUGUGUGACGGUGUAAUCUGUGGGUGUAAGGAUUGAGGAACGUAAUGCUUUCUGCUGUUUAUUUAGCGUAAAUGAUAUAGUUUUUCUGUUGGGACAAAGAAAAGGAUUAUUUAUUAAAUCUUAAAAGUCCAUAUUUCCUCUCUCGACGAACAAAAACCGAAACUCUACAAGCCCCUUAUCAUCCCCAUCCUUCGGCUAUUACGUGGUGUCUACACCAAUUAAGAAGAAGAAUCUUAAUUACUCUCAAAACCCAUUUAUUUUAAAGUGAGUUGAAAAGAGAGUUUCCAAUAAUAAUGCUGCAACACAAUCAGAAAUAAGGUGUUAAAAUUUAUUGAACAACUAAAAUUCGGUACCAAUCAUACAAUCCCGGCAAUGAAACAAAGAGUUCCCGAAAACUCCUCGUGACAUCACUAGUCAGUAUACAUAAGUAUGAAUGAAUGUGUCAGCUCAUCUGAUAAAUAGCCGUGCUAAUGUUUAUCUGUGGAGUAACGCCACACGCGUCUAUUAUUGUUGCUGUUUGCUGGUUUAUUGCCGCCGCAAAUAUUUCGUUAUUUAUUUGAUUGUCGAAAUUGCCUUGGCGUUAUUGUUUUCGUACUCAAUAUCCACUCUUUCGCAAAUUCCGAUUUUUUCGCUGCUCUCCUUUGUCCUUGGUAAGGUCUGCAUGGUCGUCAGUAUGAUGUUGACAUUUUUGGCGUGGUUGGUUUGUUUAUCUACUCGGUUGCCCGCCUGUCUGUAACUGUAAUUUAUUUGUUUAGCAACGCAAAAAAGUUGAAAAUGAGUAGAGCAAAUUACACGAGGAGCAGUGCGUGUGAAUGGGCGAAUAGUUUUAGUUUGAGUGAAAAAAGUGAAACUGGAAGUGACGCCUAACAAGCGCAUGAAUUUUGUAAUUUUCAUGUCACUUUGGGCGUCUACGAAGUUUCGACAGUCCGUUGCUAAGUGUGGACGCCUAUGUACAACUGUUGCGGACUUAAUACAAAUACAUUUCCAAUUGAAAGCAUUUUUAUUGUGUUUUGGUGGUUUUCUUAUCGAUCUUCCUUUAAUUGCACGAACACCACUUUCUUGGCCAACACACCACUAACGACCCGCACAAGUUUUGGUAACCGCUGACAGCCGUAGAACUCAACGCUUUCACCUACUUGAACACAUUCCUUGGCACUUGACAGCGUUGAGGUUGCAGUUUUUCCUAUGCCACCGCCACGUUUGCGAAAACAUUUGUGGCAUGUAGCACUUCUAACGCAUAGCAAUGGGACUGAAUUGUGCCCAGAUUUAUUUGCGGGCGUAGUGUCGUUGGUGGAUGCCAGCUUUGAAUGCGCUUAAUGAAGUGGACAUAAACUGUUGCGCCAGCCACACCAUUCGAUCAAAUCCACCUACAUUAUAUUGCCCCAUGCACAAAAGGUCCAACCACGCGUCUUUCCACCUCCACCACCUGCGCCGCCCCGUGCGCUACUUGAGCGUUUAGCGUGACAUUCUGUUUUUAGUGUUGCCAGCACUUGAAGCCAUUUCAGUUGGGGAAAGGGCGACUUAGCCAAGUGUUUCCUUGGUGACGCUUGUGUGGGAGCGGUGCUGGCGUGUUUGCGAUUGGUAACCUUCAGUUGCUGCUGCUGCUGUAAGACGAAGUUAAAGUGUUGUGGCGUCAAACUUUAUCCUUUGCUAUCAGCAGUUCUUUACCUUGCACACCACCGAUUUAAACAAAGUUUUGUAUUAUGCUUUUGGGGCUUCUAGGUGACGGGGGGUUGAAGACACCAGCAUUGAGUAAGCAACCGUCAAACUAUCAACAACUUUUAGUUGCAUAUUUGACUUUCGGGUAAUACUAGCACAAGUGCACACACCAACAUCAACUAGCGAGUGUGGAUAUGCAGGAUAUGAGUUUAUUAGAAGUGCAUUAAAGUUGUAAUGUCUCAUGGACAAUAUUGAAAUUGCGCGUACUUACUUAGUUUCUUAUAGUAUGUGUAAGUACUUAGAGCAUGCAUAUAAUCUGAAAUUAAUCAGAAUACAACAUGAAUAUAGAACCUUACUUAUGUUAUAGGUAGAUGUUGGCCGCCUCACACCCUCACGCUUUCGUCUCGGGUUCAUUAUUUGUCACGCUCGAUUAACUAACAAAUAACUUCCUACUGCCGUAAUGACCCUGUAGAAAUCGGUCGACCCUUUCUAUUGUUUUUUAUAUUUUUGUAUUUAUUUUCACUAUUGCCCCCUUUCAUAGCAAUCUAUUUUUACUAUCCUGCCUAUUCAUAUGUUUGCACUAAUUCUCCACACGGUCAACACAUAACGGUCUUUGGCAAUGCCAUAUUAAUGUUUUUCCUCUUAUAGCGCUUCCUUUUAUUAACUUUGGGUCUGUUUGCUUUCCAUUUCGGUUUGUUGCUCAAUGUCGCUGCAGUGUUGGUUUUGCACUUCGUCGUUGUUUUGCCUUUGCUUUUGUUUUUUUUCUUUUUUUUUCAUUUUCGUUAAACUUUUCCAUACUUUUACAAGGUUCUGCUCUUUUCGGUUACUCAUACCAAAGCUCAUAGCAGUUAAGUGCUGAACACAAAGACGACGACACGACACGACGUAGCGACGGCUGAUCACAAAUGUCGCUUUAAAGCCAGCGUCUUGAACAUUUUGAAGACGGCAGCGAUAUAUCAAACAGCAAUUUCAUUGUUGCCGUACUAAAAUCUUUCACUUCAAUAAAAUUUACAUAUUUAGUUUAAAGUGAAAUUAUUUACGCAAAAAAUGUAAAAAUGGUCGAUUUAUUUGUUUUAAAUAAUCGAUUGGUAUUAUUAAUGAUAUAUCAAAGCUAUUUUACGCUCCUUCUGGCAAAAUAAGGUCAUACUUUUUGAACUUUGAAUAAUUUUACAUUUCACAUAUUAGUGGCAGCUCUAUAGCGGCCAUUGUCGUCGGCAAAAUUAGAAACACUUCUAAUUUGGCGACAGCGAAGACUUCAACCCUCUUGUUGUGAAGUCGUGCUGUUGUCAAAAAAUCUGUCCCCAUAAGAACGCUAGUAUUUUAAUAUUUGACAGAUGUCGCUCGUCGCUUGUCGUCUUCUAUGUGUUUAGCACAUUAGUCUCUCAGUCGCUAUACUGCUGCCUUGCCCCACUUUGCCUCAGUGACGUCUAUAAGUAAACAAUUUAAAUGUGUCACCCCGAAAAUGAGGAAUUCGAGUAAACAAACUGCAAAUUACCCUUGGGUAUUCAUUCUACGCUCGUCCUCAUGCGUGCGGUAUGGGGGAAUUAUUCUAUACGGUGUCCUUUGUUUUCUUCAUAUUCACUUAUUUUUAUAUCUACGUGUCUUGUUCUAUUCCAAUAACUUCAUACAUACAUAUAUUCCUUUACAUCUUAGAUAUGUAUUUAUGAAUAUCAAAAUGUAUAUAUCUAUAUACUACCAUGUAAUAUAAGACCACUGCUUGACUAAUGCUCAAGAACUCAAGAUUCGAUUUAAUCCAAAUAAACAAACUUUUUAAAGCACGUGAAUACAAAAUUCUAGUACUGAAAAGGAUUAACUUCAGGCUCCGAAACUAUUAGGUAACGCCAGUCUUUCACACGCCUUUUUUCUGACCCGAUUUUCUACAAAUAUGAACCACCCGCUAAAGAUUUACACCGUUGCCUCAUGCGUAACCAUAAUCAGCUGCUAUUAAAUCUAAAAGUAGGAAUCUCGUCUUAAAGUGCUCAAAACAGAAGAAGUUAAUAUCUGUCAUCAGAAAGUUUCUAAUACAUUCGCUAGUCGGCUUGAAACUUUUCAGAUCUCUAUGUAUCAGUAGGAAGUAGCAAGUAGUAGCGGGCAAGUAGGAACCGCUGCUGACUGCAUUUGCUGGAACUUCGCUACUUCAAACUGUUUCUCGGGGGCCACCGACCACAUCAGACUAAGGUGCCAUCCGCACAAAUUAGGAAUCUACUCGUCGGAUUAGUACCGAUUCUAUGAUCUAGUAGCGGAGACACCAAAGCAUUUACUCCUUGACUGGCCGGCGAUCGCGAAAAGGAAAAGGAGUGAGAUAAUGGGGGAUCUACAUCUCCAAAGAGACAGUAUCGCGUCCAUCAGUCUUGGAACACAGAUUACAGGUGGAAGCUCUGUCAUAUUAUUCAGACCAUCAUAAAAUACCGGUUUUUAUGACGGAAUGUUUUAGGAAGGUAAAAACUGAGUAUUUGUUGUAGGUUAUCUUCAGUCUAGCCUAAUAGCUUUGUAUAUUAAUUUGAAUACAGGAAGCUUGUCCACAGUGACUAACAAUUUCAAGACGGCAUACUCUUACCAGCAAUUACUUGACCUGGAUAUUGUGGAUUUUGUUCUUAUACCGCCAGUGAUCCUCAGAAAAUUGGUGGGUUACUACCUCUUUGAUGCGUUAUUGACCCAAAGUCGUAACUCUGACAAGGUAUAUUAAAAAACACAACAAUCCGAGACUUUUGUCUCAGUUGACCUUUCUAAAUUAGUUUAUUAUAGGGGAAUUUCAACUCACUUUAAAAUGCGAGCUACUGAUGUCGAAGCACAGAGCAAACACAAUAUUAAAUCGGAAUUCCUCCUAUGGACGCCACUGUUUCCAUUAGUGCACUUAUUCUCAUGGUGAAAUGGAGCGGAAAAGGCAGAUGCAAAGGGGCAUAUGAGUACACAUGUUUAUUUAUGGACUACAAUGACAUUUUAAUAUACCCACAUAUCCCAGACGUUAGGUGGCGAGUACUGAGGUGUAACUCUUACGCUUUGAGUCAUUUGCUAUUAUUGUCCAGCAACAGCUUGGUGAAUGCGACCGCUGUGCGAUAGAAGAUGGUGGUGCAGGGAUAGUAACUCGGCGCUGCUGUGAAACAGUUUUGAAAGCUUCUAACCGUUACCGAAGCGGGUGUACACGGGGUUAAGCAGUGAUUUCAACUCAUACAUGAGCAGGAAAUCGGUAAAUUCGUAAGCACAGCAACGACAGCAAUCACAAGUCGGCAGCCAGCCUCGCUCUAACCACAGUGUCGCCCACAUUUAGUCUCGAAAGCAAAUAAAAUAAGCGCAAAUAAAAAAGGAGUGAGCGCUGCCACACAAAAGGCGCAAACAACUUAAGAGUGUGGAGUGUGGGCAGCGGGAAGCGUGCCUCGAGAGGCAUUUCAGUCUAGAAGGGCUUUUGCCCACGCACUGCACGUACAUAUGUAUGCGUGUCUGUGGCGAAGGCUGCGGCUGCCAAGUGAAGCGUGCGAACACAUUUUUAUUUUCGGUACAAAUCCAAAAGCAAAUAAACCUAAAAUCCUGAAAUGUAAAUAGACUGGGGUGAGCAUCAACGAAAUUGGUGGUAAAGGAAUUGAGUUGAACGCAAAUAAUUCAUGUCGACUGUUGCAGCCGCUUCGAGCGUAGAAUGCGCUGCUGCUGCUGCCGCUGUCAAUGUGACUUGUGCUCGUUGCAUUUCGGCUUGUUAGUGCUGCUAUUGUUCUUGUUGUUGCCGCUGCUGAUUCGUCUUUGCGGUGUUUAUUUACUUUUUUGCUUCAUUGUAUCUUCAUUGUACAUAAAUUUUCAGUCGAUUUGCCACUCGGUUAAUCCUUGGUGCACGCAUAUACAUAUGUACGAGUUUGUAUAAGGCAGACAGGCGGGCCAACUGGGGUGUUUGGGGAACGUCUGGCACGACCGGCGACUGGCAGACAAACAGACAAUCAGUUGUGGCGAAAUGGCGUAAAUUGGCGCAGGCGGAAACAUUUGAUUUACAUCUUGUUUACUCAUACUUUUCACCGCGCACACAAAUGUAUACAUCGUUUGCGAAGUUUUACAAGUCAAGUACAUCGCAGCUUUCAAAUGUGGUCGCGACUUUCGAUGUGCGUUUGACGUUUUCAGCAUUAUCCAGUAAAUAAAUUGUCGGCAUAAAAAUUCUCAUUCUUUAAAGCGUUGAAGCGCCAGGGCGUUAGCAUUUUGUCGUUUUUUGCAUGUUAAAGCAAACGAGAAAUUAAGCAAAGAAUUUUAACACACGAGCGGUGUUACUUGGAGGUGGUGCGCGUUGAACUGUGGCCAAUAGACGCAAAUCGAGCGCGCAACCGUCGCGAGGCCACAGUGCUGCCACCGCGCUUAAUAAGCUAAGAAGCCCACACAGCUCACGUGACUACAAAGUCGCCGCCGUUGGCUGGUAUCGCAACCUUGUUGUGGCAUGCCACCGCUGAGCCGGCUUUGUUUAUGUGCGUGCCACAUCAUGUGUUGGCCGUGUCAUCCCCAACUCGCGGCGUUGGCAAGAGUCGGCAGGUUUUUGUGAACUGCGGCGUUUGGUAUGCGAUGCGGGGUGUUGGUUUGAGGAAAUCGGAUUUGCAAAAUCAUCUUUAGUUCGUGCAGCCAGGCAAAAUUCACAAAAACAGCCGGCGGCGCUGAAAACAAAACAGCGACAAUAUGGUGUGUAUAACAAAGGACCAAACAGCAUUUAUUUGCUUUCUUUUCAAGCGAAACAUGGAAUUUGUUGAAAAAACAGCAAACGCCGAAAACUGGCGGGGAAAUAUGAAAAAUAUGCCACAGCUUGAACGCUGUGAGUCUGUUUAUCAUUCUCCAGUUUUUCAGUUUUUUCACUCAUCUUUUUUUUGGCAGAAAGUUACUAAAAUUCCGUGUGUGUGUGUGCAAAUUCGAGUCAGUUUAGUUGGGCAUUAGCUCUUGCGACCACCUGUUGCUGCAGCCGUUUAAGAGUCACUUUCAGAGCAGCUUAAUGGUAUUGGGAAAAGGGUAUUCUGGAAGUCAGCAAAAUGUAGAAGACAAAUAGGAAGUUAAAAGUAAAAUAUUUAUCACAGGAUGGAUUAACCAAUAUGAACUUGACUUUAAUCUUUACAUUGCUUCCUUUUACUUUCGAAAGCAAUAAUUAAUUUGUGAUUUGUCUAAUGCGAGGUUUGUACUUUACGUCGUGGUUGCUAAGAUAACAUUAUUAUUGGAGAUAGCUUAAGGACAUUAAAAGACAAUGCUUCGUUCGCAAAUAUCCGAUAUUUUUGAACAUAUAAGUUGGUUAGGUUACUAGGCAGAUAUCUGCAUAUGCAGGAAGAUUUCACUUCGACGGUUUUCACUUCAGUGGUCUUUGUGAUACAAAUAAAAUCCUAAUGGAUCAAAAGACCCUUAAGAUUCGCCAAAGCGCUGGGAAUACAUAUGUUAUAAACUUCUUCAGUCGGGUAAUGCCAAUUCUAGGCAAUUCGGUAAGUUCGCCGAAAGUGAGCCUUCCAAGGGGUUUCAACGCAUUUAGAGUACGUUUUCGCAACGGCUCGAAAAGCUUUUGAAAGUUCAUAAUGAAUACUGAUUAUGGUGGAAACUGGCACUUGACCAAUUGACCUACAACUAUGGGGAUUAGCUCUACAUGGUCUCAAAUAGUCGUUGCGAAGAAUCUCAUCAAAUUGGUUUGGGAAUAAUUAUAUGGUACGCAUGUAUUGUAUUCAUAUAUCUGUUGCUAACAGAGAUACGGCUUAAGGAACCAACUUAAGCUUUUAAAGAAAUAAUAAACACAUAAUCAAAUUUAAUAACUGAAAGUGAAAUGAACAGUUUUCAGUUCGUAUUUUUUUUUACAAGCAUACCUUAACUACCACUAUAUAGAUAUAUAUACGUACAUAUGAUACAUUCAACGCUAGGUAAAUCGUUUAAAGCAAUAUGUGUGGAAGCAUACAUAGAGUACGAGUGUACGCCCCGAGCUUCUUAUACCCGUUGCACACUGUAGGGAAAAAACUUUAGAAAAUAUGGAAAUAUUAACUCCGGCACGAACGCGAUUAAUGUCAAGCGACGUGACAGCUAAAGAGGGAUGUGUGCAAAGAGCAGAAAAAAGGAAGGGGCACACAAACUGACACAGUUCGGCGCACGGGUUCGUUCACGGUGGUCGGUGUGUGGUUUGCGCAAAAAACACUUCGAGGCUGCUGAUGUGACAGACACAUCGCUGUGACGCUGAUGUGACAAGGUAGACAGCGAAGUGUAGCGGUAGUCCGCUAUACACCAGACUACGCUGGCAGCAGUAGCAAAAUCUGGAUACACCGCAACAACAGUCAUUUAAAGUAGUACCAUUUAGUCAACAAGCAUAUAAGCUGAAAUUUGCAUGGGAUGGGAAUCUCCUACAUGUGCUACGAAGUUUAUCAAUGAAAUGUGAAUUUAAGAAAUACUAAUUUGUCAUUGAAAUAUAUUGGUUUCCUCAAGUAUAUCUUAUAGGAUUUCUGGUUUUCAUAUUAGAUUAUGGUAAAAAAUGCUAUAUAGUAAUUCAAUAUUCGUUAUUCCUAUCAACAGUGUUUCAUCCAGAUAAACUACCUCGAAUUGAAAGAAAUCAGCUUCAAAAUAUCAGAAGUUUUCUAACAAUAUAAAGUCUGAUCUUCAUCUGAGGAGCAGCCACAGACCCUAACUAACCAUACUGUGCUCAAUAUUUUUCUUGAGCCCACAUCUCUCAUCUUCUUUGACCUUCUUUGAAAACAAACGAUGGAUAUGUGAAAUUAAAUACCAAUUUUUUAACGAAAUAAAACACUGUCGCGUGACUUCGGCACUGCAGCGAGAAUGGGCGACUUUUGAAAAUCGCUGCGGCGUAGACUGAUGGACGGACAGCUAGUGGCUCCGUUGAAAUGUGGUUGCUGCAGCAGCAAAAAGUAAUUUGCUCGCAACAUCACGACAAUCAGCGAGUCCGCUAGCAGACGCACUCCCCAAAACGUCGGCAAAAUAAGGGCAUAGAAAACGCAGCAACAACUACAACAGCAUCGACUGACAGGCUGCAGCAAACAACUAGCGGGCAACAUGUUUAUGAUAAAUUACUUCCGAACAAGAUGAUGACGAGGCAACGCGUUGCAUGCGGCUGCACGCAGUCAGGCUGCAAGUUGCUGCUAACAAGCAAAGCCCAAACCAUGUGUAGUUUACGCUGCCAACGCGGCAAUAAACUGUUGUACAAUAGUUGUCUUGGCCGAAAGGUGAUGCAUUUGUUGUUGUUGUAGUCGGUGUUGCUGAUGUUGCAAAUGCAAAUAUGUCAAACAUUUACAUGCGCUUGUUAAUUUAUGGCCGCUUCAGCGUAGCGGGGCCAAGCAAUUUCGCAAGUUGCAAGAUGCAGCUGCACAAAACCGAGCUGCUGCUGGCUAAAGGAGCAAAAGAACAGCCGAGAAAAAAAAUCGCAAGGGUUAUCGUACAAUUGUGUAAGUGCACCCUGCAGUGAGCGGCAAAAAUCACCAACAAAAAAAGAAACUGCGUAUACUAAGAACAUUACGAGGACGCACACAGAAAGUGCGGAAAAAGUUAAGAAUUGGCAUACCACGCUUGUUGCCGCAAAUUGUUACCGAAACCGCUGAGGCGGGGCGGGCUCAAUUCAAUUAACGAAUGUCAGAAAUGAUGGUUUGUGAAGGCAGGGGCGUUGAGAGGAAGUUAAAUAGGUUUUCGUUAAGCGUUCGUGGACUCGGGCAGUUUGUUUAUUUUGGCAUGUAUUAAUAUCGGUUGCACCUCCGAGUGUUUAGCAACAAGUGGCAAGCCGUCGGAGUACAGAUGUGCGGAGUUAGGCACCUUAGGGCGUGAGCAAAAGGUGGAAUCCCUAUGAAAAUAUAAUUAUUUCAGCGUACGUGUUGUUGGGUAGAAAUGUUCCGCGACUUUUAAUAAUUAUAGACCUGAUUCAAUAUGAAUGCGUUUCCUUGUUCAGUUCUCACAGAUGCAACUUAGAGACAAGUGCUGAACUGCCUUAUAUGCACGAUAAUAGAUUAUAUUGAAUUAUCUAGUCACAUUAGUCCAGUAAUAUUGAGCGCGUGAUGAGCAAAGAUCUGAGCUAUAAAGCGAACCCAGUAAUACAAUUAUCAAUAAGAAAAGCAUAAUUUUGUUUUGUUGUCGGUACGAAAUUGUACCGUUAUUGUUGGCAAUGUUUAAAUAUUAUGGCGGCAAUGAAUAUUCGAAUAGCAAUUACCCGUUUAAAGAACAACAAAGCGGCGUGGGCCGAUAUAUUGCCGGCCGAGCUAUUCAAACCUGGCCUGAAAAAUCCACUCCCCAUUCCGCAUACCCUAAAUCUUGGCGAAGAGACGCUGCUUUUGGCAGCACAAAAAGAAUCUGCCUUUAUCGUGUGACUUCUUUAAUUUGAUGCUGCAGAAUUAAACAAUGAAGGUACAAUCUUCUAAAAGAGUGUACAGCUGCUUUUUUAUUAUUAUUACAAUUGUACCUAGUAUGCAAUGAUUAAAUACUAACAACAAUUAAAUUCAUAACUUAAAAAAUAACAAUUAAAAGCUAAAUGUAAGAGAAAUUCAUUUGCUGCUACAGUUGCCUUGCUAAGUCUGAAGGCUUUUUAUGUUUCAGUCGGUUUUCUCGUUCAGCAGUACCGAUGAGUCUGGAUGCCUCUUUAUUUACAUGUUGUAUAAGCCUCGUGAGUCCUUGCAAGUUUGGUUAUUUCGCUUACUACUGCAUUCACACCAAGAUCACGGUGAAGGUUAGCGGAUCUAACAUACCAAGGAGCAUUAACUAUACUUAUUUGUACCUUAUUUUGGAAGCACUGAAUGCAGGCAAUACAGUUUUGACUUGAGCUCCAUAGGCCCAAAUUGGCUUUAGUACUUGAUUAUAUAUAAACAGCUUGUUUGCGAUUGAAAUCGUGGAUCUCCUACCAACCAGAUGGUAAAACUUAGCAAAUUUGAAAUCAAGCUCAAGCAAUACAGCUGCUGACGUACGCCUAUGAUAUCGAUAUCACAACACCCGCGCCUUUAGUUCUGACUUUUCCAGACUGGAUAAGGAAGCGAAGAGAAUGGGUCUGGUGGUGAAUGAGGACAUGACGAAAUGUCCCCUUUCAUCAAACAAACAAUCCACGCAUACGCGACUUGGAUCCCACGUCACUGUUGACAGUCAUACUUUCAAAUUGUAGAUAAUUUCGUCUAUCUUGGAACCAGCAUCACCAAUAACAUCAGCUUUGAAAUCAAACACAGAAUCACUCUUGCCAACACGUGCUACUUUGGACUGGGUAGGCAAUUGAAAAGUAAAGUUCUCUCUCGACGAACAAAAACCAAACUUUAAAAGUCCCUCAUCAUUCACGUCCUACUUUAUGGUGAAGGAGCGUGGACGAAGUCAACAUCCGACGAGAUGAGGAAUUUUCGAGAGAAAAGUUUUGCGGAAGAUGUACGGUUCCUUAAACAUUAGCAACGGCGAAUACCACAGACGAUUUAAUGAUGACCUGCACGUGUUAUACGACGAUAGUGCAGCGAAUAAAAAGACAUCGGCUACGCUGACUAGGUCAUGUUGUUUGAAUGGACGAAAGCGAUCCAGCAUUGAAAGUGUUCGAUACUCGCUGGUGGAAUCCGAGAAUGAGGAAGACAUCCACUCCUUUGGAAAUAUCAGAUGGAGAGCUAUCUGGUUUUGCUUGGUAUUUCCAGUUAGCGCCAAUUUGCGAGAAAGAGAGACCAAUGGCGCAUUAUUAUUGAUUCGGCUAUAAUCGCGUAAGCGGUGUCUGCGCCAGUUAAGAAGAAGUUAUAAGUUGGUGUUGUUCUUUUAACCAUCGUAAUAUUUUUAUUUAAGGAACCACAACAAUUAUUUUAAAUACAUACUUUUGUUGUCACCUGGUGAACUGCUUUUGAAUUUAUUUUUGAAACCCACUAUUAGAGGACCAUUAAAAUUGUGGAAGUGUUGCUUGCAUUUUUAUAUUUUGCCCAUUUCGUUUGGGCAAUAAAUUUCACAACUCAUGCCACAAACGUGCUCCACAAACAAACGUACAUCUCUCUGUUGCACAUAAAUGGUUGAAAUAAUGUUAAUCCUUGAAUAAUAAUCAUACGCAAAUUUAUGUCCUUGUGUGUGUGUUUGUGAAAUCAUUGCGUCUAGCAGCGUUGUAUGUACGACGACAUGUUGCCACCUGCUGCAACACUAGCCGCCACCUGCCACCGCAAAUAAAACAUUAAUUUGUACAUUUGUAUAACGGCAUUGUUGUUGUGCUUUGUUGUCUUUCUGGUAUUUACUGUCGAUUUUACGUUAAAACCAAAUUAAAUUAUCUGUUUACAUUGGGUGUGACAGUCAGUCUACAUGACAUUAUGUUGUGGCAUAUAAACUCACAAGCCAGCUAGCCAUUGUGUACACGUUGUAUGUGUGUAUGCAUUUAUGUUGCAUGUGGCACGUUGCAUCAUUUGUUCGCGUUUCACAUUUCGUAGAUCUAUUUAAUUUCACUUUAAUUUAAUUGCGUCAUCGCAUUGCAUUUCGUUCCGGCUUAAAAUGUCGGCGUGUUUUUCAAUGCGAAACGCAACGGUAGUCGGCGACAGACGUGCGGCUCAUCGAUUCGACCCAGCACUACCGCUUGCAGUCACCAAAUCUACGAAAUGGUUUCUUAACCCAGGGAGCAAAGGAGUGGGGUUUUGGAUGACUACGAAUUGUAUUUUAGGAAAUAUGAAUACUACAGUUACAUAUAUUGCACGGAAAAAUGUAGUUUGGAGCUUUAUUGCGAAAGGUUGGAAUACUCACUGGCACACGCCUUUACGAUUGGGCUGACGGAUGAUGUCAAGAACAAGGUACCAGAGAAACAAUGGAGCAUCUCUCGUUCGCUUGAACUGCAUUGUCAAGGCAACGGAUCCAGCAUGUCAUGUCCUCAGUGUGAGAAUCUGGAAGAUAGUGAAGCCACAUAACCUCUUAAAAUUCGCGCAGGCAUCCUGAAAGAUGACUACUCCUCGUGGACUACGUGACGGCACUACAUCUGGUAUCGCAAAGGACCAAGACUGGUCUAUGUGUGACUUAUUGGCCUACCAUACUAACCUAACCUAACCUUUAUUGCGCUAGUCUCUGGCAAGUUUGUUGAUUUUUUUCUCUUCUUAACGAUAAUCCCGACUUAAGAUCCAAAUUCUGAAUCAUAAUUUAUGGAAAAUAGAGUCAUUGGAAUAUAAAUCCAUAAAGUGUUGACUUUUUAAUUAAUAAAAAAAUACUUGCUAAAUAAAUACUUGAUAUUUUUUUUAUAGACUCGGAAGGCAAUCGAAAUAUUCUAAAAAUUUUCAUUCUCAAUUAAUUUUGUUAUGUGGGUGAUUUAAUCGCGUUUGGUACGUAUGUGGGUGUUCACAUCCAUUGGCGAGUAUAAUCACGUGAUGUACGAGUUACCAUUCGCAAUUGAACCAUUUGCGUAUGAAUCCUUUUGCACGUUGCGGUUUUAGCACUAAACUCAUAAUUUGCGAAUGACUGGAAUGCUAACGGAAAUCGGCUCAUAAAAUAUUUUGUUUUGUUGGAAUAAUUGCAACCGAAAGAAAUAUAUUCAAGUGAAUGCUUUGUGAAAAACUACGAGCCACAUGCGAUUAUGCUCGAUCUGUUCAAUAGUUGGCAGGUGUCUCUGCCGAGGUGUACUAUGUACGCGAAGGUCACGUCAAUAAUUACGCACUUAAUUUUGUUGUCCCAGUGCCGGCGAAUGUACGCGACAUCACCUUCACCUGGCAGAGUUUGGCCGGUCGCCCGUUGCCGU
Molecule: RNA transcript, 26689 nt
Organism: Zeugodacus cucurbitae (melon fly)
Lineage: Eukaryota; Metazoa; Arthropoda; Insecta; Diptera; Tephritidae
Gene: dnt
Gene name: tyrosine-protein kinase Dnt
Exons: 3
Source: RefSeq, a predicted model, not a curated record